UUACUGAGUUACCGCUCUAUAACCCUUUGUGAACGUACCUAACCGUUGCUUCGGCGGGCAGGGGAAGCCUCUCGCGGGCCUCCCCUCCCGGCGCCGGCCCCCACCACGGGGACGGGGCGCCCGCCGGAGGAAACCAAACUCUAUUUACACGACGUCUCUUCUGAGUGGCACAAGCAAAUAAUUAAAACUUUUAACAACGGAUCUCUUGGUUCUGGCAUCGAUGAAGAACGCAGCGAAAUGCGAUAAGUAAUGUGAAUUGCAGAAUUCAGUGAAUCAUCGAAUCUUUGAACGCACAUUGCGCUCGCCAGCAUUCUGGCGAGCAUGCCUGUUCGAGCGUCAUUUCAACCCUCAAGCACCGCUUGGUUUUGGGGCCCCACGGCCGACGUGGGCCCUUAAAGGUAGUGGCGGACCCUCCCGGAGCCUCCUUUGCGUAGUAACUAACGUCUCGCACUGGGAUCCGGAGGGACUCUUGCCGUUAAACCCCCAAAUUC
RNAcentral lists this ribosomal RNA (491 nucleotides) under Colletotrichum sp. D130_101. RNAcentral's name for it is "eukaryotic LSU rRNA". The stretch from base 186 to 339 matches the Rfam family "5.8S ribosomal RNA". The record is from RNAcentral. Lineage: Eukaryota; Fungi; Ascomycota; Sordariomycetes; Glomerellales; Glomerellaceae.